Molecule: transfer RNA, 73 nt
Filed under: Ovis aries (sheep)
Lineage: Eukaryota; Metazoa; Chordata; Mammalia; Artiodactyla; Bovidae
Rfam family: tRNA
About the family: Transfer RNA (tRNA) molecules are approximately 80 nucleotides in length.
Source: Rfam by way of RNAcentral
UCCCUGGUAGUCCAGUGGUUAAGACUCUGUGCUUCCAAUGCAGAGGGCAUGGGUUCAAUUCCUGGUUGGGGAG